AAUUUAUGCACCUUGGUGUUCCUGGAGUCAACAUUUGAAACACACAUGGAGAAAAUGAUAAUUUUUCUUCAUCCAUUUUCCUUCUUCACUUUCACUCUUUCUACCCAUUUCUCACCCUUGUCUAGUAGUACAAACAUCAAAACCAAAAGAAAAGAGAUAUACUAUUUUUAUAGCAAUACCCUUGACAGAGGCAAAGAGAGAACCAUUUGUAUGUUUUAUUUGAACAUUACAUAUGUUUUCACUCUCAUCCACCCAGAAACUAUUACCAAACCUUAGUUUUAUGUAUUGUUCUAUAUAAAGUAUGAACCAUAUAAAAAAAACACCAUCAGUAAAAGAAAGAAAUCAAAAUCAACCUUCUUCAUUUUCCCACAUUCAUUUUAUGCUACCAACGGAAGUAAAAGAAUGAGUGCUUUUUAACUUUUAAACAAUUGGAGCAGCAAGCAAAACAAAGUCAAACGUGAAGGAAGGUGAAAUAAGGGGUGACCCACGUCCCUUUUCUCCAAGAUACACCGUUUCCGCUAACAUAUGAGAACCAUAGAGAACCAUCACGAACCACCACCAAUAGACGCUGUGAAAACGAGACGGCGGUCUUAGGCCCAAACCGUCACCAUAACUCCUUGGCCACCGCUGGAGACGGAUAACCCGUCGUUGGAGAGGACUCGAAGAAGGGAUGGUGCCUCGAAGACGCGCUGCCACAAAUAAUCCCAAGCUGGCUCGGUCUCUGCCACCAAUGGCUCAUGGUUGCCGCCGCUGGAGAGAAGAGAGAAGUGAUGGGGUGAGAGGGAGAUUAGGGAUUUCAAUUCCCAUUCCUUUCACGUUUUUUGCAUCUAACAGGGUAACCCCCUUCAUUUUAACAAUAAUGUUUUUAUUUUAUUCUUGUUAUUAUAUUGGUUUGUUCCAUAUCUCUUAACUAUUAAACAAGUAUACCUUAACCUAAAUUAUAGUAACAUUUGUUUAAAUAAAAUAAAACCUAAUUAAAAUUAUCCUUUCACAAUAAAAAUAAUAACUAGAGAAUAAUUUAAAAAUUUUAUAUCAUGAUUCGAGUCGUCUCUAAGUUCUCUAAAAAUGAGAAGAAUGUCUACCACCAACACCGUCUUUAAGCUAUUAAUUCCAUAUAAAAUAAUUAAAAAUUAUUUCAUCACCUAAAUGAGAUUUAUGGAAUUUUUAUAGUCAGGUCAUGAUUCGAGUCGUCUCUAACUUCUCUGAAAAUGGGAAGAAAGUCUACGACCAACACAGUCUCUAAGCUAUCAAUUUCAUACAAAAAAAUUCAAACUAUCUUAUCACUUAAUUAAUUAUGGAAUUUUUAUAGUAAGUUUGUGGUUUGAGUCGUAUCUAACCUCUCUGAAAUUGGGAAGAAUGUCUACGACCAAUACCAUCUCUAAGAUAUUAAUUCAAUAGAAAAUAUAAUUAAAAAUUAUUUUAUCACCUAAAUAAAUAUGAAACUUUUAUAGUAAAGUCAUGGUUCGAGUCGUUUCUAACUUCUCUGAAAAUGGGUAGAAGGUCUACGACCAACACCUUCUCUAAGCUAUUAGUUCCAUUGAAAUUAAAUAAUCACAUAAAUAUUUUAAAUUCAAUAAAAAAUCAACUCAACAAAAUCAAUAUUUCCAAAUCAGAAAUAAUCAACCAAACUGAUAAAUCAUUUUUAUAACCAGAACUAAGUAGUCUUGAUUUCCCUACUGCAUCAAGGAAUACGUAGGAGCAAGAUAAUCUCUUGUCAGACACAAAAAUAAAAAAUAAAAUAUUUUGUUUUAGUAAUUGAAUUUUAAAUAAAUAAUUUUUAAGGGUAUAAAAGUCCAUGUGAUUAGUAAGGAUAUUGUUUUAAUACAGGCGUACGAAGUGCUAAUACAUUCCCCG
Molecule: long non-coding RNA, 1854 nt
Filed under: Lupinus angustifolius (narrow-leaved blue lupine)
Lineage: Eukaryota; Viridiplantae; Streptophyta; Magnoliopsida; Fabales; Fabaceae
Description: long non-coding RNA (LANG_LNC003314)
Source: RNAcentral